RNAcentral lists this ribosomal RNA (472 nucleotides) under uncultured bacterium. RNAcentral describes it as "partial 16S ribosomal RNA". It matches the Rfam family "Bacterial small subunit ribosomal RNA", at positions 28 to 507 of the family's 1533-position model. The record is from RNAcentral.
GACGAACGCUGGCGGCGUGCUUAACACAUGCAAGUCGAACGAUGAACCCGGAGCUUGCUCCGGGGGAUUAGUGGCGAACGGGUGAGUAACACGUGAGUAACCUGCCCUGGACUCUGGGAUAAGCGUUGGAAACGACGUCUAAUACCGGAUAGGACCUUGGAUCGCAUGAUCUGGGGUGGAAAGUUUUUUCGGUCUGGGAUGGACUCGCGGCCUAUCAGCUUGUUGGUGAGGUAAUGGCUCACCAAGGCGUCGACGGGUAGCCGGCCUGAGAGGGUGACCGGCCACACUGGGACUGAGACACGGCCCAGACUCCUGCGGGAGGCAGCAGUGGGGAAUAGUGCACAAUGGGCGAAAGCCUGAUGCAGCAACGCCGCGUGCGGGAGGACGGCCUUCGGGUUGUAAACCGCUUUUAGUAGGGAAGAAGGGCUUCGGCUUGACGGUACCUGCAGAAAAAGGACCGGCUAACUACGUG